Molecule: ribosomal RNA, 486 nt
Filed under: uncultured bacterium
Lineage: Bacteria
Description: bacterial SSU rRNA
Rfam family: Bacterial small subunit ribosomal RNA
Source: RNAcentral
GAUGAACGCUGGCGGCGUGCUUAACACAUGCAAGUCGAGCGGAGAUAUAUGAAGUGCUUGCACUUCAUAUAUCUUAGCGGCGGACGGGUGAGUAACGUGUGGGCAACCUGCCCCGUACAGGGGGAUAAUCACUUGAAAAGGUGACUAAUACCCCAUGUCAUCCCACCGGCGCAUGCCGGAGGGAGAAAAGGAUUUAUCCGGUACGGGAUGGGCCCGCAUCUGAUUAGCUAGUUGGUGAGAUAACAGCCCACCAAGGCAACGAUCAGUAGCCGACCUGAGAGGGUGAUCGGCCACAUUGGGACUGAGACACGGCCCAAACUCCUACGGGAGGCAGCAGUGGGGAAUAUUGCACAAUGGGCGAAAGCCUGAUGCAGCAACGCCGCGUGAAGGAAGAAGGGUUUCGGCUCGUAAACUCCUAUCGACAGGGAAGAAAGAAAUGACGGUACCUGAAUAAGAAGCCCCGGCUAACUACGUGCCAGCAGCCGC